GCCUGGGUAGCUCAGACGGUAGAGCAUCAGACUCUUAAUCUGAGGGUCUAGGGUUCAAGUCCCUGUUCAGGUGGUUCCA
Molecule: transfer RNA, 79 nt
Filed under: Merluccius polli (Benguela hake)
Lineage: Eukaryota; Metazoa; Chordata; Actinopteri; Gadiformes; Merlucciidae
Description: tRNA-Lys
Rfam family: tRNA
About the family: Transfer RNA (tRNA) molecules are approximately 80 nucleotides in length.
Source: RNAcentral